Molecule: ribosomal RNA, 510 nt
Filed under: uncultured bacterium
Lineage: Bacteria
Description: bacterial SSU rRNA
Rfam family: Bacterial small subunit ribosomal RNA
Source: RNAcentral
AUUGAACGCUGGCGGCAGGCCUAACACAUGCAAGUCGAACGGUAACAGGCUGUAUGGGAUCCCUUCCGGGGUGAACUUGGCGCUGACGAGUGGCGAACGGGUGAGUAACACGUAGGAAUCUACCCAGGAGUGGGGGACAACCCGGAGAAAUCCGGGCUAAUACCGCAUACGCCCUACCGGGGUAAAGUGGGGGACCUCUUCGGAGGCCUCACGCUUUUGGAUGAGCCUGCGUCGGAUUAGCUUGUUGGUGAGGUAACGGCUCACCAAGGCGACGAUCCGUAGCUGGUCUGAGAGGAUGACCAGUCACACUGGGACUGAGACACGGCCCAGACUCCUACGGGAGGCAGCAGUGGGGAAUAUUGGACAAGUGGGGGCAACCCUGAUCCAGCCAUGCCGCGUGUGUGAAGAAGGCCCUAGGGUUGUAAAGCACUUCAGUGGGGAAGAAAAGCCUAAGGAUAAUACCCUUGGGUCUUGACGGUACCUACAGAAGAAGCACCGGCUAAUUCCGUG